UGGGAAUAUUGGACAAUGGGCGAAAGCCUGAUCCAGCCAUGCCGCGUGAGUGAUGAAGGCCUUAGGGUUGUAAAGCUCUUUUAGCAGGGAAGAUAAUGACGGUACCUGCAGAAAAAGCCCCGGCUAACUUCGUGCCAGCAGCCGCGGUAAUACGAAGGGGGCUAGCGUUGCUCGGAAUUACUGGGCGUAAAGCGCACGUGGGCGGACUUUCAAGUCAGGGGUGAAAUCCCGGGGCUCAACCUCGGAACUGCCUUUGAUACUGUUGGUCUCGAGUCCGGAAGAGGUGAGUGGAAUUCCGAGUGUAGAGGUGAAAUUCGUAGAUAUUAGGAAGAACACCGGUGGCGAAGGCGGCUCACUGGUCCGGUACUGACGCUGAGGUGCGAAAGCGUGGGGAGCAAACA
RNAcentral lists this ribosomal RNA (401 nucleotides) under uncultured bacterium. Its description in RNAcentral is "bacterial SSU rRNA". It matches the Rfam family "Bacterial small subunit ribosomal RNA", at positions 356 to 774 of the family's 1533-position model. The record is from RNAcentral.